Molecule: unclassified non-coding RNA, 462 nt
Filed under: Hevea brasiliensis (rubber tree)
Lineage: Eukaryota; Viridiplantae; Streptophyta; Magnoliopsida; Malpighiales; Euphorbiaceae
Source: RNAcentral
GCUUCUGCUAAUAGGUACCUUCAGCAAUAAAAGUACAAUAAACUAUAAUAUGACCACAAAUAAAAAUUACAUCAGGAGAAUCAGAAAAACAGGUCUUAAAUAAAAUUUAACUGGGGAAGUUUUAUGAAUACCCUAUUGUCAACCAAUCCAUGUACUCCUAGAUUCAAUCAUCUUGAAGCUUCUAACUAAUACUAAGGACAAUAUAGAAGUCAAUAAACAUGGCUUCAAAGACCAUACCUAGUUACCUACAUCAUAAAUUGGACAUGGAACAUAAUUAGAACGUAAGAUAUGUAGCAAAAUUCUCCAUCAUAAAUUAACCAUUAAUGAUCCAUAUUCUAAAUUUCUGCUGCAGAAGGAUAUCAAACAAUUGGAACUUCUAAAAACAUGAAAACAGCCUGCUUAAAACCACAACUUCUAAGAAUGUAUAAAGUCAUCAAACUGGUUAGCAAUUUUCAUUUAACU